CUCGCGUCUCUUGGACAGCUAUG
This 23-nucleotide small nuclear RNA is filed under the name Arabidopsis thaliana (thale cress). Its description in RNAcentral is "snRNA_08183". Lineage: Eukaryota; Viridiplantae; Streptophyta; Magnoliopsida; Brassicales; Brassicaceae. The record is from RNAcentral.